CUCGGCAGGCCUAACACAUGCAAGUCGAGCGGUAGCACAGAGAGCUUGCUCUCGGGUGACGAGCGGCGGACGGGUGAGUAAUGUCUGGGAAACUGCCUGAUGGAGGGGGAUAACUACUGGAAACGGUAGCUAAUACCGCAUAAUGUCGCAAGACCAAAGUGGGGGACCUUCGGGCCUCAUGCCAUCAGAUGUGCCCAGAUGGGAUUAGCUAGUAGGUGGGGUAACGGCUCACCUAGGCGACGAUCCCUAGCUGGUCUGAGAGGAUGACCAGCCACACUGGAACUGAGACACGGUCCAGACUCCUACGGGAGGCAGCAGUGGGGAAUAUUGCACAAUGGGCGCAAGCCUGAUGCAGCCAUGCCGCGUGUGUGAAGAAGGCCUUCGGGUUGUAAAGCACUUUCAGCGGGGAGGAAGGCGAUGAGGUUAAUAACCUUGUCGAUUGACGUUACCCGCAGAAGAAGCACCGGCUAACUCCGUGCCAGCAGCCGCGGUAAUACGGAGGGUGCAAGCGUUAAUCGGAAUUACUGGGCGUAAAGCGCACGCAGGCGGUCUGUCAAGUCAGAUGUGAAAUCCCCGGGCUCAACCUGGGAACUGCAUUCGAAACUGGCAGGCUAGAGUCUUGUAGAGGGGGGUAGAAUUCCAGGUGUAGCGGUGAAAUGCGUAGAGAUCUGGAGGAAUACCGGUGGCGAAGGCGGCCCCCUGGACAAAGACUGACGCUCAGGUGCGAAAGCGUGGGGAGCAAACAGGAUUAGAUACCCUGGUAGUCCACGCCGUAAACGAUGUCGAUUUGGAGGUUGUGCAGCUUUGAGGCGUGGCUUCCGGAGCUAACGCGUUAAAUCGACCGCCUGGGGAGUACGGCCGCAAGGUUAAAACUCAAAUGAAUUGACGGGGGCCCGCACAAGCGGUGGAGCAUGUGGUUUAAUUCGAUGCAACGCGAAGAACCUUACCUGGUCUUGACAUCCACAGAACUUACCAGAGAUGGUUUGGUGCCUUCGAGAACUGUGAGACAGGUGCUGCAUGGCUGUCGUCAGCUCGUGUUGUGAAAUGUUGGGUUAAGUCCCGCAACGAGCGCAACCCUUAUCCUUUGUUGCCAGCGGUCCGGCCGGGAACUCAAAGGAGACUGCC
Molecule: ribosomal RNA, 1125 nt
Filed under: Klebsiella pneumoniae
Lineage: Bacteria; Pseudomonadati; Pseudomonadota; Gammaproteobacteria; Enterobacterales; Enterobacteriaceae
Description: bacterial SSU rRNA
Rfam family: Bacterial small subunit ribosomal RNA
Source: RNAcentral